CAGAGGGUGAAAGAGAGCCGGGCCACAAACGGGGAACCGGGACGUGAGGGCCAACCAGAGAGAGCGUAAUAAGGAGAAUUGCUAGGAAAGGAUUGGGGGUGAAGCUGGCGGUGAACAUGAGGCGCCUGCUUCUACCUCUGUCCCUUAUGAAGUCUGUCUGCCAGCGGAGACCCUGAGUCACUGCGCCCUCAGGAUCCGCUAUCGAUGAGUAGCGAAAAAGCAAGAAAGGAGCAAAAGCGCUGUUCCCUCGCUGGCUUCACUUUUCCCACUCGCGGCUGCUUUUGCAGCUAGAGACGUACAUCGCUCUCCUUCGCCUGACUCUGCGGCCCACCCAGGACCCGCAACUGUGACAUAACGCAGCAGGGUUAGGACCCUGCAGCUGGCCAGACGCUGACUGCAGCGUCUGACCCUGACCACGAGUUUGAGGGAGGUGGCUGUCCUUUCUCUGGAGGACAUCCGAGCACUAGCCCGUAGACACUUGUGGCCUCCCCAGCCCACCCCCGAGGACUCUCUCCAAGAGCUUGGCGUCUCCACCGCUCACCAGGAAGGGGUGCAGGAGAGGAAAGAGCCUCAAGUUUGGCAGAAUAAGUUGAGGGAGAGGAUUAAGUGAUGUUGGGGCUUUGGCAGAGAGGUACAUUGUGGUUCUUCGGAUCAGAUCAACAUCCGGUCAUUCCUGCAGGGCGCUCCGUUGCAGGGAGGCCCAGCUGAGCAUGCUAGCUCUUCGGACCAGUGUCUCCUAGGUCACCCUUGGGCAAAGAACGAGAGCGGGAACCAGGAGAGCUCCGGCUUCUCGGGGCUUCUGGGCCUGAGGCUUCCUAGAUUCUACUCAGGCAAUACAGUUGCGCUCUGAUGGGCGCGCAAACGCGCCGGGACGCAUCUCCGCCGGCUUGGAGACCAGGAGAUCCUUGGCGACUAACUUUUCCGGCUUUGGGCUCAGGAC
This is a non-coding RNA of Arvicanthis niloticus (Nile rat), 940 nucleotides long. The record is from RefSeq and is a predicted model, not a curated record. NCBI's taxonomy places the organism in Eukaryota, Metazoa, Chordata, Mammalia, Rodentia, Muridae.